CGGAAUGUGGGGUAAUGGCCGCCCGCGUGGUUUGGGACCACGUCUACGCAGGUUCGAUUCCUGCCGUUCCGA
This 72-nucleotide transfer RNA is filed under the name Actinomycetota bacterium. RNAcentral's name for it is "tRNA-Pro". It matches the Rfam family "tRNA". Rfam says of the family: Transfer RNA (tRNA) molecules are approximately 80 nucleotides in length. Their secondary structure includes four short double-helical elements and three loops (D, anti-codon, and T loops). Lineage: Bacteria; Bacillati; Actinomycetota. The record is from RNAcentral.